CCGCUCCCCGUUCCUCCCAAAUUGUGUGUAGACUGGAUUUAACUGUGUGUAGUAUAAGUGAGAGUAAAUCACAAAGCCAGUGGGAGGAAGGUUCCAUAUUCUGCUCCAGUCUCGGGUAAAACUGAUGCUUCAUCUACUCUACGUUGCACACGAAAGACCAGGAGAAAAAGCAACCUGUACCUCUCUCAUUCCCUGAGACCCUAACUUGUGACGUUUUGCUGUGAUGUGCACGGGUUGGGUUCUUGGGAGCUGCGAGGGGCACUCACACAUCUCAAUAAAAAAAAAAAAGAAAAAAAAAGAAAGGGAUUGUCAGGACAGCCCAGCUUUGGUCACUGAAGGCAUGUUGACAGGGAACGGUCAUAAUGUAUUUACUGGCAACUGUGAUGUGGUAGAUUGGGUCACGGCUGAAACACUACCAUUAACUACGCCAUGGCCAAUUUAGGCUUCCACGUGGUGGCAUUGAAGAUUAAAGGGAAGGAACACAGAGCACAUUUUGUGUCAUUUGGAUGUUUUGGCUUAGAAGGAGUUAUGUGAGGGAGUGUGAGAGAGGAUAACAGUGGAAUGUGGGCAGGAAGGAUAUGUGACCAGCAUGGGCAAAUGGAGUGGAGUCCAAAUCAGGUAUGAUGUAUGAAUAAUUUAUCUUUGACAAAGGUUGCACCCACGGUGACUAAUCUUGCAAUUACUAACACAAGGAACAGAACCAGUACCCCCCUACCCCACCCUCCAGCUGUAUACACUUAAAGCCAUAAGUUAAUAUCCAUCAUGGCUAAAAACUCUGGAACUCACUUUUCUCCAACUACACACAUUUUAUGCUUCCAAACAAUACAUUAAGCAAUUUAUGAAGGCAACUUAAUUUUGUGUGUGUAUAAAAAAUAAUAGUUACAAGAUAGAUUUAUUUCAGUUUUUAUUCACAAUGUUGGAUUUUCAGUGGGUCAGCUGUUCAAAUUAGCUCAGUUG
Thalassophryne amazonica is the source of this 957-nucleotide long non-coding RNA. RefSeq lists it as uncharacterized. The record is from RefSeq and is a predicted model, not a curated record. The transcript is spliced from 3 exons. Lineage: Eukaryota; Metazoa; Chordata; Actinopteri; Batrachoidiformes; Batrachoididae.